Molecule: ribosomal RNA, 504 nt
Filed under: uncultured bacterium
Lineage: Bacteria
Description: partial 16S ribosomal RNA
Rfam family: Bacterial small subunit ribosomal RNA
Source: RNAcentral
GAUAAACGCUAGCGGCAGGCUUAACACAUGCAAGUCGAGGGGCAGCAUAGAUUGUAGCAAUACAAUUGGUGGCGACCGGCGCACGGGUGCGUAACGCGUAUGCAACCUACCCGUCACAGGGGGAUAAUCCGGAGAAAUCUGGUCUAAUACCCCAUGACAUAUGGAUCGGCAUCGGUUCAUGUUGAAAUUUUCGGAGGUGACGGAUGGGCAUGCGUAGCAUUAGCUUGUUGGUGAGGUAACGGCUCACCAAGGCGACGAUGCUUAGGGGGACUGAGAGGUGUACCCCCCACACUGGUACUGAGACACGGACCAGACUCCUACGGGAGGCAGCAGUGAGGAAUAUUGGUCAAUGGGCGCAAGCCUGAACCAGCCAUGCCGCGUGCAGGAUGACAGCUCUAUGAGUUGUAAACUGCUUUUGUACGAGGGUAAAGUGGGUUACGUGUAACCUUUUGAAAGUAUCGUACGAAUAAGGAUCGGCUAACUCCGUGCCAGCCGCCGCAGUAA